CCGCCGUGCCUUCGACCAUGGCCCCUGGCCUCGCUUCCCUGGCGCUGUACGUAUAAUUACAUAAUUAAUAAUAAUCUUUCAUUUCUUUUCGUUUCAAUUUUCGUUCUAACAAAAGUGGUACUACCCUACUGCACUUUUUCUUCCCUAGCUUCCCUGCAUAGUUUCUCACAGUUCCAACACAGAGAGAUAUGUCGUCACGUCAGAGCUAGCUAGAGCCGACGACGUUACUGUUUUCACAGGGCUUGAGAAUCGUCUAGUUGUCCCAAUCUAGCUACAUCUUUGUUAUAUUUAUAAAAGUAGUUAUAAAUUUCAGACGAUACUAAAACCAAAUCAAUCAAUUUCCAUGACGCCGACGCUAUUUUGUAGUUUAUCCUUUGCUGUUUACGGUCGUGCUUCAUUUGACGUUUUCUGGCCUCCCAUUUUGAACCUUUUUUCUCUUUUUAUUUCUUCCCGGUACGUAGGAGGUGGACCCCAAUCUUAUUUUCCUACACUUCUUUCUUGUUGUAUACGGACGCUUACAUCACUAAAGGAGGUGAAUCAAACCCAAUCUGAGCUGAAAUUUUUUAGCUCGUAUUUUUUGUAUACCCUAACUCAAAUUUGAUUCAUUUGAAAUUUAAACGAGUUACGAAUAAUUGUUUUUAGAACCGAACAUUUAGCUAGCUGUUUACGAACGGAUUUGA
Molecule: long non-coding RNA, 680 nt
Filed under: Linum usitatissimum (flax)
Lineage: Eukaryota; Viridiplantae; Streptophyta; Magnoliopsida; Malpighiales; Linaceae
Description: long non-coding RNA (LUSI_LNC001991)
Source: RNAcentral